CUGUCAUUGACUCGUGAGUGUAGAGAUUAAUCAGAUAGCUGGGUUAGUUGACAACGUCACGAAAAGGAUAUGGACACUUUAAUGGGGUAAUAAUCUCUUGUUGUGAUUAUGGAUGACCAGGUAGCUAGCUAUCAACAAUGACACGAAACUGCCAUGUGGGGAAUCGUAAGUGACUCGUCUCAGCUAGUUUCAUCUUGUUAUUUAAACAAUGUCUUGUUUUGAGGUGUUUUGACAGAUUUUUAUGGCAAAAAAAUCUGUAGCUAGCUACCAACAACUCCAAGCUGUAUUUGAGCGACAACAAGUGCUCAUUGUGUAAAUGUAUAUAUGUUUCCAAUAAACAUUGGAGAAAAAAUAUAGUUUAUAUUUUGUCAACAAUCUAAACCGGUUUUGUUGCUAAACAACCAAUCCCACUACUUCACAACAGUGGACGUGUCAUAAUACCCAUUUUUUUUUUUUUCACCAUUCAUUUUUCCAUUAGGGAUUUUAGAGCCACUUCAAACAAGGCUUGUGUUUCAUUGUAGGCUUUCCCCGGCGUGACGUUUUGAUAACUGUGUGAAUCUCUCCUGGACAAGAUCCUCUGCUCCUUCAGCCGGUGGAGGUCUAUAAUCCCUUUAAUCCCUUAGAAUUACUGCCAACUAUAUGAACAAGAUUCAAAGCCAGAUUAACUCUUUGCAGAAUGUAUCCAUAAUCAUGCAUUAAUAAGCCUAUUUAUUUGACAAGAAUGCACCUAAUCACCCAUCAAUCACGUCAAACGCUUGAACUCCAACAAUUACAUUGUUUUAAAGAAAUCACAACAGUUAACCAAUACAAUACAUACUGUAUGUCUUUUAUACAUCAAAUAUAAACAUCUAAUUUGAAGUAAACAAAUUAUUUAUUCAUCAAUGCCACAAACAUGGGACAUUGAAGAGCACCAUAUUAACUAUUAUUACUAUCUGAGAGCGCAGAGAUUUGUCUACUUUUCCUUUUUAGGAAUUAGACCAGCAGAAAUAACACAAUGUAAAACAGCAUGUAGUGAUUUUUAGUGGGUGAGUUACAAAAGGAGAAACUACUGGAUGUGUGAAGUAGAU
Long non-coding RNA from Oncorhynchus mykiss (rainbow trout), 1067 nucleotides. RefSeq lists it as uncharacterized. The record is from RefSeq and is a predicted model, not a curated record. NCBI's taxonomy places the organism in Eukaryota, Metazoa, Chordata, Actinopteri, Salmoniformes, Salmonidae.